AUGCGGUACUCGCCGGUGUGCCCUCCUGACCCCUCGCCGACCAGAGUAGCUUGCCGGAGCAGCUGCUUCCGUCGCCGGCCGAUCGCCCCUGUCCUCCUCUGUUCUUCGCGUCGGGAGGAGGAACAAGGAGCGAGAGGAGAGAGAGAGAUCCCGUGGACCCCAUGUGUAAGCCUCUUAGCCGCCUGGCCCCGCCUUGUCAUGCUGGAUAAGAGGAGGCGUAUUCUUCAGAAUGCAUCUUCUCAGCUGGAAAGCACACUUUCAUUUUGUUUUAGCUUACAAUGUUUCUACUCUGUUCUAAAGGCGUAA
RNAcentral lists this ribosomal RNA (306 nucleotides) under Triticum aestivum (bread wheat). RNAcentral describes it as "partial small subunit ribosomal RNA". Lineage: Eukaryota; Viridiplantae; Streptophyta; Magnoliopsida; Poales; Poaceae. The record is from RNAcentral.